CAAUAGCGUAUAUUAAAGUUGUUGCAGUUAAAAAGCUCGUAGUUGGAUUUCUGGUCGGAAGCUCCUGUCCUCUGAUGAGCGUACAAGUGCGUCCUACCAUCCUUCUGUUAACCUUUAAGGCUUUCGCGGCUUGCUAGGGGCUCAGAUAUUUUACCUUGAGAAAAUUAGAGUGUUUCAGGCAGGCUAGCGCCGGAAUACAUUAGCAUGGAAUAAUGGAAUAGGACUUUUGCCUCUUCUGUUGGUCAUGAGGCUCGAGUAAUGAUUAAUAGGGAUAGUUGGGGGCAUUAGUACUUAACUGUCAGAGGUGAAAUUCUCGGAUUUGUUAAAGACUAACUUAUGCGAAAGCAUUUGCCAAGGAUGUUUUCAUUAA
Molecule: ribosomal RNA, 370 nt
Filed under: uncultured eukaryote
Lineage: Eukaryota
Description: partial 18S ribosomal RNA
Rfam family: Eukaryotic small subunit ribosomal RNA
Source: RNAcentral